GCUGCUUUAGCUCAGUUGGUAGAGCGCGUCCUUGGUAAGGACGAGGUCCCGGGUUCAAAUCCCGGAAGCAGCUCCA
This 76-nucleotide transfer RNA is filed under the name Deltaproteobacteria bacterium. RNAcentral describes it as "tRNA-Thr". It matches the Rfam family "tRNA". From Rfam's summary of the family: Transfer RNA (tRNA) molecules are approximately 80 nucleotides in length. Their secondary structure includes four short double-helical elements and three loops (D, anti-codon, and T loops). Lineage: Bacteria; Pseudomonadati; Myxococcota; Myxococcia. The record is from RNAcentral.